RNAcentral lists this ribosomal RNA (400 nucleotides) under uncultured bacterium. RNAcentral describes it as "bacterial SSU rRNA". It matches the Rfam family "Bacterial small subunit ribosomal RNA", at positions 355 to 759 of the family's 1533-position model. The record is from RNAcentral.
UGGGGAAUAUUGCGCAAUGGGCGAAAGCCUGACGCAGCAACGCCGCGUGGGUGAAGAAGGUCUUCGGAUCGUAAAGCCCUGUCAGAUGGGAAGAAACCUGCGCAAGCAGCUGACGGUACCAUCAGAGGAAGCACCGGCUAACUCCGUGCCAGCAGCCGCGGUAAUACGGAGGGUGCAAGCGUUGUUCGGAAUUACUGGGCGUAAAGGGCGCGUAGGCGGCCGAUCAAGUCUGAUGUGAAAGCCCGGGGCUCAACCCCGGAAGUGCAUUGGAAACUGGUCGGCUUGAGUUCGGGAGAGGAGGGCAGAAUUCCCGGUGUAGGGGUGAAAUCCGUAGAUAUCGGGAGGAAAACCAGUGGCGAAGGCGGCCCUCUGGAACGUGACUGACGCUGAGGCGCGAAAG